CCGCCUCGAGGCCCGGAGCCAUCUGCCCAGGAGCAGAUGGAGGGGAUGCUGUGCCGCAAGCAGGAGAUGGAGGCCUUCGGGAAGAAGGCUGCCAACAGGUCCUGGCAGAACGUGUACUGUGUCCUGCGGCGUGGGAGCCUCGGCUUUUACAAGGAUGCCAAGGCAGCCAGCGCGGGAGUGCCAUACCAUGGAGAAGUGCCUGUCAGCCUGGCCAGGGCCCAGGGCAGCGUCGCCUUUGAUUACCGAAAGCGCAAACAUGUCUUCAAGCUGGGGUAGGAACAGGGAACAGUGCUCUCGGGAUGGGAGGAGAGUUGGGAGUGACACAGGUGAGCCAUGAGUCAGGUCCAGAGGGAGGGGAGUUCCUGCAAAGAGCCUGAGUGGAGUAACCAGGCCAGCCACUUGGGGAUAGUGUAGAUGAGGGAGGCGGGGAUUCUGGUUGUCUCCACACCAAGGGGAGCAGGAGAACCAAGACC
RNAcentral lists this small RNA (473 nucleotides) under Pongo abelii (Sumatran orangutan). Its description in RNAcentral is "retained intron". The record is from RNAcentral. Lineage: Eukaryota; Metazoa; Chordata; Mammalia; Primates; Hominidae.